This 391-nucleotide ribosomal RNA is filed under the name uncultured bacterium. RNAcentral's name for it is "bacterial SSU rRNA". It matches the Rfam family "Bacterial small subunit ribosomal RNA", at positions 29 to 420 of the family's 1533-position model. The record is from RNAcentral.
AUUGAACGCUGGCGGCGUGCUUAACACAUGCAAGUCGAUCGGUAACAGGUGUAGCAAUACAUGCUGACGAGAGGCGGACGGGUGAGUAAUGCUUGGGAAUCUGCCUAUUAGUGGGGGACAACCCGGGGAAACUCGGGCUAAUACCGCAUACGCUCUACGGAGGAAAGCCGGGGACCGCAAGGCCUGGCGCUAAUAGAUGAGCCCAAGUCGGAUUAGCUAGNGGUAGGGUAACGGCCUACCAAGGCGACAAUCCGUAGCUGGUCUGAGAGGACGACCAGCCACACCGGAACUGAGACACGGUCCGGACUCCUACGGGAGGCAGCAGUGGGGAAUCUUGCGCAAUGGGCGAAAGCCUGACGCAGCGACGCCGCGUGAGGGAUGACGGCCUGGU